CCUACGGGUGGCAGCAGUGAGGAAUAUUGGUCAAUGGGCGAGAGCCUGAACCAGCCAAGCCGCGUGAGGGAAGACGGCCCUAUGGGUUGUAAACUUCUUUUGUAGAAGAAUAAAACGCGGCACGUGUCCCUUACUGCAUGUACUUUAUGAAAAAGGAUCGGCUAACUACGUGCCAGCAGCCGCGGUAAUACGGAGGAGUCGAGCGUUAUCCGGAUUUAUUGGGUUUAAAGGGAGCGUAGGUGGGUUGUUAAGUCAGUUGUGAAAGUUUGGGGCUCAACCGCAGAGGUGCAGUUGAUACUGGCAGUCUUGAGUGCAGUAGAGGUAAGCGGAAUUCGUGGUGUAGCGGUGAAAUGCGUAGAUAUCACGAAGAACCCCGAUUGCGAAGGCGGCUUACUGGACUGUGACUGACGCUGAGGCUCGAAAGCGUGGGUAUCAAACAGGAUUAGAUACCCGUGUAGUC
Molecule: ribosomal RNA, 460 nt
Filed under: uncultured bacterium
Lineage: Bacteria
Description: partial 16S ribosomal RNA
Rfam family: Bacterial small subunit ribosomal RNA
Source: RNAcentral